This 336-nucleotide unclassified non-coding RNA is filed under the name soil metagenome. RNAcentral's name for it is "partial contains 5.8S ribosomal RNA, internal transcribed spacer 2, and large subunit ribosomal RNA". The stretch from base 1 to 120 matches the Rfam family "5.8S ribosomal RNA", at positions 35 to 154 of the family's 154-position model. The record is from RNAcentral.
GAUGAAGAACGCAGCGAAAUGCGAUAAGUAAUGUGAAUUGCAGAAUUCAGUGAAUCAUCGAAUCUUUGAACGCACAUUGCGCCCGCCAGUAUUCUGGCGGGCAUGCCUGUUCUAGCGUCAUUUCAACCAUCAAGCCCCAGGCUUGUGUUGGGGACCUGCGGCUGCCGCAGGCCCUGAAAACCAGUGGCGGGCUCGCUGUCACACCGGGCGUAGUAGAUUUUAUCUCGCUCAGGGCGUGCUGCGGGUUCCGGCCGUUAAAAAGCCUUUUUUACCCAAGGUUGACCUCGGAUCAGGUAGGAAGACCCGCUGAACUUAAGCAUAUCAAUAAGCGGAGGA